This 23-nucleotide small nuclear RNA is filed under the name Arabidopsis thaliana (thale cress). RNAcentral describes it as "snRNA_10281". The record is from RNAcentral. Lineage: Eukaryota; Viridiplantae; Streptophyta; Magnoliopsida; Brassicales; Brassicaceae.
UUAACGUGAAGUUCCUGUCAAUC